This is a non-coding RNA of Echinostoma caproni, 84 nucleotides long. The record is from Rfam. NCBI's taxonomy places the organism in Eukaryota, Metazoa, Platyhelminthes, Trematoda, Plagiorchiida, Echinostomatidae.
GGCCUCGUAGCUCAGCUGGUAGAGCGUGCGCUGUACGAAAGUGUAGGCGGCGUCCAUGCGUGGGUUCGGAUCCCACCGUGGCCA